GCUUGCUUUGGCAGAACAUGUACUAGAACUGGAAUGAUACAGAGAAGAUUAGCAUGGCUCCUGCACAGAGAAGACACACAAAUUCAUGAAGUGUGUAUAUGUAUU
Small nuclear RNA from Dromiciops gliroides (monito del monte), 105 nucleotides. Lineage: Eukaryota; Metazoa; Chordata; Mammalia; Microbiotheria; Microbiotheriidae. The record is from RefSeq and is a predicted model, not a curated record.